This 16429-nucleotide long non-coding RNA is filed under the name Gossypium barbadense (sea-island cotton). Its description in RNAcentral is "long non-coding RNA (GBAR_LNC000076)". Lineage: Eukaryota; Viridiplantae; Streptophyta; Magnoliopsida; Malvales; Malvaceae. The record is from RNAcentral.
AAAGAAUUCAUUUACGUGGUUUGGUCCAAGACCAAGGGUGAACAUUACGGACCCUGAAAAAAUAAGAGAAAUACUUAACAAAUUUAAUGACUUCCAGAAGGUACGUACCAAUCCACUGCUUAAUUUGCUUGUAAGCGGCCUUGCUAACCUCGAAGGAGACCGAUGGAGCAAGCGUAGAAAAAUCAUAAACCCUGCAUUUCAUCAAGAUAAGUUGAAGGUAUAGAAUAGUGAUGGGUACUCAAGACUUUACAGAAAACAUCAUACUUAAACCUGAGCUUUUCUGAUUUAGAAAUAAUUGGAUGCAGAAUAUGUUGCCAGCAUUUUAUCAAAGUUGUAGUGACAUGUUAAGAAAAUGGGAGAAGAUGGUGUGUACAGAAGGAUACAGUGAGUUAGAUGUGUGGCCUUAUCUCGUAGAUUUGACAAGAGAUGUGAUUUCCCGAUCUGCUUUUGGAAGCAGCUUCGAAGAAGGCAAACGAAUUUUCCAAUUACUAGAGGACCAACUCGUUCUCACAAUCAAAUUAAUACAAACUGUUUACAUUCCAUGAUGGAGGUAACCCUCAACUUAAUUUACUUGAAAAAGGUUGCAAAUGUUGGAAUUCGCUAAAUUCGUGUUUGUUUUCUUGAAGGUUUUUGCCAACAAAGACAAACAGGGAGAUGAAGAUGAAACACAGAGACAUAAAAGAGUCGCUUAGGGAAAUGAUAAAGAGAAGAGAGAAGGCAAUUAAAGCAGGGGAAGAGAGCAAUGAGGACUUGUUGGACAUACUUGUGGAAUCCAAUAUCAGAGAAAUGGAAGCAAAGAAUAUGGGGAUGAGCAUUGAGGAUGUGAUUGAGGAAUGCAAGCUGUUUUACUUUGCUGGCCAAGAGACCACUUCGGUCUUACUGGUGUGGACUAUGGUUUUAUUAGCAAGGUAUCCCGAUUGGCAAAGUAAAGCAAGAGAGGAGGUUUUGCAUGUUUUGGGUGACAGUAAACCUGAUGCUGAUGGCCUUAAUCGUCUCAAAGUUGUAAGUCCCUAGCAUGUCUUUUGAAGGUCCGAUCAAUGAGGUCGACAACUCAAAAACUUGGUUUUUUUUGUUUCGCUAAUUCUACAGGUAACAAUGAUAUUGUACGAGGUUCUAAGGUUGUACCCACCAGUGGUUGAGCUAGGACGUUCCGUUCCAAAAGAAAUAAAACUGGGGAAUUUGUUGUUACCAGCAGGAGCAGAAGUUUCGGUUCCGAUCCUGCAGAUCCACCAUGACAAAGAUCUUUGGGGUGACGACGCACGGGAAUUUAAGCCAGAGCGGUUGGCGGAAGGGGUUUCCAAAGCAACAAAGAGUCAAGUCACGUUUCUGCCAUUCGGAUGGGGUCCUAGGAUCUGUAUUGGCCAAAAUUUUGCCAUGAUGGAAGCCAAAAUGGCGAUGGCUAUGAUUCUCCAACGCUUCUGGUUCGAGCUUUCCCCUUCCUAUGCUCACUCUCCUUACAGCAGGGCAACUCUUCGUCCACAGCAUGGUGCACAGAUAGUUUUACAUAAACUUGGCUCUAAUUGAAUUGUUAUGUAAACAGAUCUUUUUGAAAAUAUAGCGUUUUAGUGUAUCGUCAAAGUCCGGUGUCUGUAAUGGUACAAUUCCGAUGCAUGAAUAGUAAAUUUUAAGAUGUUUGGUUAAGUCCGAAAUAAUAUGCAGAAAUUGAGUGUCUUGAAUGGAUGUAGUAUUUAAUGGUGGACAUAGUUGAGGGAUUAAUGUGGUAAUUAUCGAACAAAUAAUUGCAUAUGGUACAAAGACUUAUAUGGAAAUUAGAGCGGGGGGAGUAGAAAAUGACUACUUUGCUUUGGGCAUCAAUUUAGAAAGAUUUAAAGUACAAAUGUAUUAUUAGUUUAAAGGAUUUGUUUUAAAGAAGGAAUGACAAUUAAACCUCAUGGUUGAUUUGUGGAAGGGAACCGAUGAUGGGAUGAUUAUUCUUAGUGGUAAAAAAAAAACUAUUAAGGAGGUUAUUAUACUUGUUAUCAAUUUCUCAAAAUUUGAAUGGGUUUAAGUCAGAUUAUAUCGAGCUUGUUAGAUGAGUUCACGGACCAAGCUUGCAUGAUAAUGGCUGCUUACAGAAAUGUAUCUAUAGUUUUCUACAAAGUCAUAUGUGAAAUUAUGCAUUGGUACCGCAUAAACAUGUUUUAUGUCUAGAAUAUUAUACGUGUCUAUGUGCAUGGAAUCUACCUAGUAUAUCAUAUCAAUGAACAGUAUCAAUGGUGGACCUCAAAAGUAUUUUUGGGGGAUCAGAAUUAAACUGUAUGUUUUUAUGAAAGUAAAAAUUUAAUUUCACUAUUUUAUAGUCAAUUUCUUUUUAAUUUUUGAAGGAUUAAAUCAAAUUUUUAUAAAUUUUUAGGAGGUUGAAGUACAAUUUUAUCAUUACUAAUUUAAAAUUUUAUAAAUUAUAAAAAAUAUAAAUAAAAAAUUUUAUAUUUUAGGAUAGCCAAGGCUCCUGCCAACUCUAACUCACUGAAUAGUAUAAAUAAAUAAAUACCAUCAUCUAAAAUAUGGGUAAGUGUCCAAAAUAUGAUUUUGGUGAAAAUAUGUAGGGUUGGUCUCAUGGAAGUGUAAAGACAAGAACCCCGCUAAUGUAUGGGAUGUGUAAAGUUGAAUCUAGGGAGCAAAUAGGAGUGAAUCAUUUUGGUAACAUUUGGACAAGAAACAUAAUGAACAAAAUGAAAGGAGAGGAAGCUAGUAAAAGAUUUUUUUGGGUCAUAUAAUUUGUUUGGCAUAUAUUUUUAUAAUUUUUAAAUAUCAUUUUGGAGUUGAAUUAUAACUUUUUUUUAUAUAUUAUCUUAAAAUUUUAUAAAAUUUAAGGAGUUAAAACGUAAUUAUUCCAUGGGUCAGAGCUGCCCUCGCUUUGCAUUUCUUUGAGAUUCAGCCUUAUCUCAAUUGAGGGUUGAGUAGAAAGAUUUGGUGGAGCAAGCAAAGCUAUCAAUCAAGGUUGGAGAAAGCUUAGGAGGUCACAAUGCAUAAUUAUUUAAAUGUAAUUCUAAUAUUUAAAUAAAAUUUAUUAAUAUAAUAUCAGCAAGUGUUAAAUAUAAUGAUCAGAUACCAUUAUAUUUUUAGAAAGAGAAAAUAUGUUUAAACCUUAAAAACGGCGUUACUAAAAAUAAUAAUCACAAAUCUUGAAAUAUAAAAAAUAAAUUUUUUAAUAUAAUUAAAAUUUAAUUUGAAAGCCGAGCUGGAUAAAAUUCUAAUUUUAGAUAAUGGUACCAACAACAAAUCAAUAUUUAAAUUAAAAUUAAUCUAAAUUUAAUAUAAUCAAAUUGGACUCUAAUAUUAAAUUUAAUAUAAUCAAGGUUCAUGAACUUUAUACCCUAUGCUUUACGUAAUUGAAAAAAAAAUCAUUGGACAUAAAAGUCUACGAAAAGUUUCACUAUAUUAAUAAAUAAAUAAAUAAAAAAUAUUGCUACAAGAUUACAACACAAAGUUACAAUAAGAGCUUAUAACUUAACAAAGGCUAUCAAUAAAUAAUCUCAAACAAACUAAAGAGAAAUAUUGAGAGUCCCACCAAAUAGUGAUUGCCUUUAAAAGUUAAAAACUCGAAGUUAUAGUAUCUCAAAUGAAAUUAAACCAUGAACAUUAAAUUUUUCGAGUCUACUAGCUACUGUAAAAAAUUGAGCUCCAACGGACAACAAAUGAACCUUUGAUCGAAGAAAAUACGAAAAUUAGUCUCGGUAAAUCAAGCUGCCAAACUUACUUUUUAUCUUAUCUUUAAUUUGUAAUAAAAUUCAAAAUUAAGGUUUUGUUUGUUUCACUUAGAACAACUUUCAAAAAAUUAAUUUUGGAAAAUGGAUUGAUUUUUCGAAAUAGAUGAUAUUUUAUUGUGUAAAAAUUUUAUUUGUUGUUUGAUGAACUUUUUUUUAAAUCAUUUUUUUAGAAUUAUUUUUAGUGAAACAAAUAUAUCAUAAAUAUAUUUGUUACAAAAUAUUAUAUUAGUAUUUUCUUUUGACAAUUAAAGUUUAUUUUAUGAUAAGACAAUAUUUUAUAAUAAUUAAUAUCAUAUAUACUUAAUAAUAAAUCAUGUCUAAUUAAAAUUUAAGUUAAAUUAAAUAUAUUAAUAAAGCUACAUAUAAUCAUAUUUUAUAUAAUUAAAAUAUUAAUAUAAAUAUUUUUCAAUAAGAUAUUAAAGAAUAUUUAAAAUUUAAAUUUAUUAUUACUAAAAUUAAUUAUUAAAAUAAAAAUGUAAUAUUAAAUAAUUUAUCUAAUGAUAAGUUAUAUUAAUAAUUUAUUAUAUCAUUAAAUAAAAAUAAUUAAAUAUGUAUGUUUAAUAAUAUUAUGUUAUAAUAUUCAUUAUUAAUAUCUUAAUAUUCUUAAACAGCCGUGUCUCAAAGAUGGUUGUGAUGGUGAUGUGAUGAUGCAGCCCCCCUUCUUACAAUUACAAUAAUUUUUAGUGCAAUAAUUAAAGUUGCUGAGUGGUAAAGUAAACUUCUUUUGACUGAGAUGCAUGUAAUAUAUGGAUGUUGAGGUUUUAGACUGCGCCAUCUUUAAAGGGGUUAAAUUAUAUAUUUAUAUAAUAUGAUUAUUGUUUAUGAAUAUAAUAUUAUAGAUAAGUUUUUAUACAUAUUAAUAUGUAUUUUAUUUUAAUGUUAAUAUGUAGUUUUUUAGAUGUGGAUUCACCUAUAUAAUGAUAUGAACUCAUUAUGCAGUCUCAUGAAAUAUGCAAACACAUAUAGUGUAAAUAUAAAGUAUGAACCACCAAAAGUACAGAUCAACACCUAAUUGAAUAAUUGGAUAACAGAUAGGUAAUAAUAAAUAUCAUUCACUAUCCCCUCUUGUUUUAAUUUAUUUUAUUUCCAGUGAGUUAUUUUUUUUAUGAUAAAUUUGCAACAAAUGUUUUUAUCAUUAUUUUGUUGGUAAAUGAUAAUAAGAUUAAAUUUACUUUCGUAAGCUCCUUCAAUUCUUUGGAGUUAGUGGUUUUUUAUUCUGAUCUUUUUUUCUUAUUAAAUUUUUUAUAAUAAAUGUGUUUAUAGAUGAGGUUAGAUUAUAAUUGAAUUAUUUUAUAGCAUUAACAUAAUUUAGAUGGAUUAAAAUUUAUUCUACUAAAAAUAUAAAUUUAAAAUUUUACUUCAAUUUAUCUUAAUUUAUAAAUGAUGAAUUUAAAUUUACUUUUUCCCCAUUAUAUUCAAUUUUCCACAUAAUAUUUGGCCUAGAACAAAAACUAGAACAAUAAAACAAAUAUAAACUAUGCUACAAAGAGUAUACAGCUACAGAAAGCUGAAAUGUUUUCCAAAAAUUAUAUUGUUAACUUUUAAAAAAAAUAUUUUAGCUAUUUAUCAUCAUGAAGAAAAAAGAUACAGUCAUGCACCUGGCCUCAUGCUUCAACACCUCAACCUAGAUUCUCAUCACCUGUAUUUAUCAUCGAUUCAGAUCUUUAUUUUUACUAUAUUCUAGAUCUCCCUAUAAAUAUAUCUUCAAACUUCCUUUGGUUAAGUUCAUUCAUAGAUGGGUGAGUAAACUUGAGCUUCAGCUUUCCACAAACACCUUAAUUUGAAGACACUGUUCUCUCAUGCUAAAAACCACAUGGACGUUUACCAUGUAAUUAGAGAGUUGGUUUCAUUGCUUGUUGUUGGGUUAUUAAUGAUAUGGGGAUGGAGAGCUUUAAACUGGGUAUGGCUGGCUCCAAAGAGGCUCGAAAGGUGCUUGAGACAACAGGGUUUAGCAGGGAAUUCUUACAGGUUCCUUUCUGGUGACAUAAAAGAGCUCUUCACUAUGAGCAGACAAACAAGAGCCAAACCUAUGCCUCUUAGUGAUGAUAUUGGGCCUUAUGUUGUUCCUUUUCAACAUCAAACUGUCAACCAGUAUGGUAUGUUUUUUUGUUUAAUCUGCAAUUUAUGAUAAUUCUUUUUUAUUUAUGUAUGGAAUUUAUUGGGAGGAAAUGCAGGAAAGAAUUCAUUUACGUGGUUUGGUCCAAGACCAAGGGUGAACAUUACGGACCCUGAAAAAAUAAAAGAAAUACUUAACAAAUUUAAUGACUUCCAGAAGGUACGUACCAAUCCACUUGUUCAUUUGCUUGUAAGCGGCCUUGUUAACCUCGAAGGAGACCGAUGGAGCAAGCAUAGAAAAAUCAUAAACCCUGCAUUUCAUCAAGAUAAGUUGAAGGUAUAGAAUAGUGAUGGGUACUCAGACUUUAAAGAAAACAUCAUACUUAAACCUAUGCUUUUCUGACUUAGAAAAUAAUUGGAUGCAGAAUAUGUUGCCAGCAUUUUAUCAAAGUUGUAGUGACAUGUCAAGCAAAUGGGAGAAGAUGGUGUGUACAGAAGGAUACUGUGAGUUAGAUGUGUGGCCUUAUCUCGUAGAUUUGACAAGAGAUGUGAUUUCCCGAUCUGCUUUUGGAAGCAGCUUCGAAGAAGGCAAACGAAUUUUCCAAUUACCAGAGGACCAACUCGUUCUCACAAUCAAAUUAAUACAAACUGUUUACAUUCCAGGAUGGAGGUAACCCUCAACUUAAUUUACUUGAAAAAGGUUGCAAAUGUUGGAAUUCGCUAAAAGCGUGUUUGUUUUCUUGAAGGUUUUUGCCAACAAAGACAAACGGGGAGAUGAAGAUGAAAUACAAAGACAUAAAAGAGUCGCUUAGGGAAAUGAUAAAGAGAAGAGAGAAGGCAAUUAAAGCAAGGGAAGAGAGCAAUGAGGACUUGUUGGACAUACUUGUGGAAUCCAAUAUCAGAGAAAUGGAAGCAAAGAAUAUGGGGAUGAGCAUUGAGGAUGUGAUUGAGGAAUGCAAGCUGUUUUACUUUGCUGGCCAAGGGACCACUUCGGUCUUGCUGGUGUGGACUAUGGUUUUAUUAGCAAGGCAUCCCGAUUGGCAAAGUAAAGCAAGAGACGAGGUUUUGCAUGUUUUGGGUGACAGUAAACCUGAUGCUGAUGGCCUUAAUCGUCUCAAAGUUGUAAGUCCCUAGCAUGUCUUUUGAAGGUCCGAUCAAUGAGGUCGACAACUCAAAAACUUGGUUUCUUUGUUUCGCUAAUUCUACAGGUAACAAUGAUAUUGUACGAGGUUCUAAGGUUGUACCCACCAGUGGUUGAGCUAGGACGUUCCGUUCCAAAAGAAAUAAAACUGGGAAAUUUGUUGUUACCAGCAGGAACAGACGUUUUGGUUCCAAUCCUGCAGAUCCACCAUGACAAAGAUCUUUGGGGCGACGACGCACGGGAAUUUAAGCCAGAGCGGUUCACGGAAGGAGUUUCCAAAGCAACAAAGAGUCAAGUCACGUUUCUGCCAUUCGGAUGGGGUCCUAGGAUCUGCAUUGGCCAAAACUUUGCCAUGAUGGAAGCCAAAAUGGCGAUGGCUAUGAUUCUCCAACGCUUCUGGUUCGAGCUUUCCCCUUCCUAUGCUCACUCUCCUUACAGCAUGGCAACUCUUCGUCCACAGCAUGGUGCACAGAUAAUUUUACAUAAACUUGGCUCUAAUUGAAUUGUUAUGUAAAUAAAUCUUUGUGAAAAUAUAUAGCUUGUUAGUGUAUCGUCAAAGUCCGGUGUCUGUAAUGGUACAAUUCCGAUGCAUGAAUAGUAAAUUUUGAGAUGUUUAGUGAAGUCCGAAAUAAUAUGCAGAAAUUGAGUGUCUUGAAUGGAUGUAGUAUUUAAUGGUGGACAUAGCUGGGGGACUAAUGUGGUAAUUAUCGAACAAAUAAUUGCAUAUGGUACAAAGACUUGUAUGGAAAUUAGAGCAGGGGGAGUAGAAAAUGACUACUUUGCUUUGGGCAUCAAUUUAGAAAGAUUUAAAGUACAAAUGUAUUAUUAGUUUAAGGGAUUUGUUUUAAAGAAGGAAUGACAAUUAAACCUUAUGAUUGAUUUGUGGAAAGGAAUCGAUGAUGGGAUGAUUACUUUUAGUGGUAAAAAAAACUAUUAAGGAGGUUAUUAUAUUUGUUAUCACCGGCCCAAAAUUUAAAUGUAGUCACGUCAAAUUAUAUCGAGCUCGCAAUAUGAGUUCACGGACCAAGUUUGCAUGAUAAUAGGUGUUCACAUAAAGGUAUUUAUAGUUUACUGCAAAGUCACAUGUGAGAUCGUGCAUUGGAACCGAAUAGACAUGUUUUAUGUUUAGAAUAUGAUACGUGUCUAUGUGCAUAGAAUCUACCUAGUAUAUCAUAUCAAUGAAUAGUAUCAAUUGCGGAGCCAAAAUUUUUUUGAGGGGUAAGAAUUAAAUUGUAUAUUUUUACUAAAAUAAAAAUUCAAUUUUACUAUUUUAAUAGUUUAUUUCUUUUUAAUUUUUAAAUGAUUAAAUCAAAUUUUUAUAAAUUUUUAGAGAUCAAAAUAUAAUUUUAUCAUUACUAAUUUAAAAUUUUAUAAAUUAUAAAGUAUUUAAAUAAAAAAAUUUCCUAUUUUAGGGUGACCAAGGUCCUGCCAACUUCCUACUCGAUCACUGAACAGUAUAAAUAAAUACCAUCAUCUAAAAUACUCAAGAAAAACACUCAAGGAUAAAUAGAGAGAUGUUGGGUAAGUGUCCAAAAUAUGAUUUAAGUGAAGAUACGUGUGGUAGGUGUCAUGGAAAUGUAAAGACAAGAAUCCCACUAAUGUAUGGGAUGUGUACACUUGAAUGUAGGGAGCAAAGAGGAGCGAAUCAUUGUGGUAACAUUUGGACAAGAAAUAAUGAACAAAAUGAAAGGAGAGGAAGCUAGUAAAAGAUUUUUUUGGGUCAUAUAAUUUGUUUGGUAUAUAUUUUUUUAAUUUUUAAAUAUCAUUUUGGAGUUGAAUUAUAGUUUCUUUUUAUGUUUUAAAACAUAAUUAUUUUAUUUUUAGAGUGUCAAAGUAGAGGUGAGCAUGGAUCAGACUACUCGGCUCGGCCGGAAGAUCUGUCUGAAAUGUGAGAGGUUUGAGCAAAAAUAUAGGCAAAAAAAAUGGGCUUGGACAAAAAAUAUAAGGCUCGUUUAGAAAAUGGGUCGGGCCUUGAGUAAGACAUUUUUGGCCUCGAGCCUGGCCCGGCUUGAAUUCACUAAAGGACAAAAAAAAUUAAUUUUUUAAAUAUUAUUUUCUUGUUAUUUUCUUCCUAUUUUGCUACCAUUGUACUAUUAUGUUACUACUAUUUUGUUGUUAUUGUUUGGAUAUUGUAUAAACCUUAUUUUAUUGUUAAUUUUGUUAUUAUUUUAAAGACAUUUGUUAAUUUUGUUAUUAUUUUAGAGACAUUUGCUUGUUAAGUUGCAUCUAUCUUAGUGUUAUUUAAGUAUACAUAUUUUUUAAAAUUUAUUUUCAAUUUGUUGGAAAAUAUUUAUUUUAUAUUUUUAGUAUUUUAGAUGUAUUAUAUAUAUUUUAAAAUUAUAUAAAAAUUAAUAUGGACAGGAGGGUCGAGCCCGAGUUUUAGCAUUUUUAUUCGGGUUAGGCUUGGACAAAAUUUUAAGCCCAUUUUUUGGGCCGAGCCUAACAAACAGUCUUGAAUUUUUAGUUGAGCUUGGCCCGGCCCAUGCUCACCUCUAGUUCAAAGCUGCCCUCGCUUUGCAUUUCUUUGAGAUUCAGUUUUAUCUACUGUUGAUUGGCCACUCAAUUGAGGGUUGAAUAGAAAGAUUUGGUGAAGCAAGCUAAGCUAUCAAUCAAGGUUGGAGAAAGCUUAGGAGAUCACAAUGCAUAAUUAUUUAAAUGUAAUUCUAAUAUUUAAAUAAAAUUUAUUAAUUUAGUAUUAACAAGCCUUAAAUGUAAUGAUCAUAUACUAUUACAUUUUCAAGAAGAAAAAAUAUGUUUGAACCUUAAAAACAACAUUAUUAAAAAUAAUAAUCACAAAUCUUAAAAUAUAAAAAAUAUAAUUAAAAAUUAAUUUUAAACUCGAGCUGUAACAGCCCAAAUUUCAGUGGUGUCGGAAUAGUGAUGUGAGAUCACUAAAUACGACAUGUGAGUUUAGAUAUUAGUAAGUAAAAGUUAAGUGUGAUUUUAGAAAUAUUUUUGAAUUAGUGAAAUUGUGAAUUAAAGAAAAUUUCUAGAUAAAAACGAGGUAUCGAGACCUCUAAUUCAUAAACCAAGCCAUAAAUAUUUUUAGAAAUAUUUAUGGAGUGUUACUAAGUUAGUAUUAAAGUUUUGUUAAGAGAUUUUAACAUUUCAGUAAUUAAUUGAAGAAAAAUGACUAAAUUGAAUAAAGUGUAAAACUAUCAAAUAUGAUUAAAUAGCUUAAGAGAUCAUUAAGGAAUGAGUUAAAAGGUAAAUAGACCCAAAUUAGGUGGGUUGGACGGCAUGAGUGUGCAGGAAAUGUAAAAAAAUCAAGUGUGAACAAAGGGCAAAAGUGAAAAUAGGGUAAAAUUUAAUUGUAAAAUAUGAUGUAGUUGGUAAUUUUAGAGAAUUCAUCAUUUUUCUUCAUCUUCAUCAGCUAAAAACACCAUUAGAGAGCUUUUAAGAAGCUGGUUUUAUAUUUUACAGCAUGUAAGUUCAAUUCUUGAUUAUUUAGUUCAAUUCUUGAUUAUUUCUUGUAAUUUUUGUGUUUUUUGAGACUUUUACAAUUGGGUCCUACUAUUUAACUUAUUAGUUUUUGCUUUUAUGAAUGGUUUAGAAAGUUUCCAUAAAUAAGAGCUGAAAUUUUAUGAUGAUUUAUUAUGGAAUUGGGACUGUAAGUUUAUUAUAUGAUGAUUUUAUGAAGAGAUUUUAUAAGAAUUGAUUUUUAGGACCUAAUUGUGAAAGUCGUUGUAAUUAGGGUUUUGUGUUAAAACUUUGAAUUUCAAAGGCUUGGAAGUAGUUAUAAUGUUUAGAUAAAAUGAUAUUUUAGAAUAAUUAGUUCAAUUGAUGAACAAAUUGAGCAAUGACUAAAUUGUAAAAAUUGAAAAGUUUGAGAAAAAAUGUAAUUUCAAAAAUUAAAGGGUAUAAAUUGUGAAGUAGAAUAGAAUUGAAAUAGAUGCUCAUGAGGGAAUGAUUUUAUAAUUACAGAUCAAGAAAACGAAGUGAAUCGUGGAAAGGAGAAAUUGCAAGAAUAUUCCCUGAAAUUUCUACGACUUUUGCAAAUCAGCCCAGUUAAGUUCAUAUGGAAAAAAUUAAUGUUUUGUUAUGAAAAUCUUAUGAUUUGAUAAGGUAUAUUAUUAUAGAUGAAUACUAUCAAAUUGUAAUAAUUAUGAAAUAAUAUUUAAGUAAAAGUACAAAUUAGUUGGAACAAUGGAUUUGAGUGCUUUCGUUCUGUGACCAUGAUGAAUUGAUGGAAAAGGUGUGAUAUGUGCGCCCGUAUAAGACCAUAGCUGGGCUAUGGCAUCGGUGCAAUGUGAUAUGUGCUCCUGUAUAAGACUAUAGUUGGGCUAUGGCAUCGGUGUGAUGUGAUAAUGUGCUUCUGUAAAAGACCAUAUUUGGGAUAUGGCAUCGGUAUGAUAUGUGACCCGUGUAAGACCAUAACUGGGCUAUGGCUUCGGUGUGUGAUAUGUGACUAUGUGCAAGUCUAUGGUUUUACCAUGGCAAUGUGAUAAUGAAGCACUCAAUUCCAUUAUUGUUUCCUAAUUUGACUAUGAAAGUAAAUGAGAAAUAGGCCCAAGAGAUCUAAAAUUGGUGAAUAGUGACAUUGAAAUCAAUCAAAUGAGUUUAUUAAUGAUUUGUGAUUUACAGGAAGGUUUAGUGAAAUUAAAUAUUAUAUGAUUGUGUGCAAUAUUCGGUAAGAUUUAUUUUUCUGUGCUUAUGAGCGUACUAAGCUUCAAUAAGCUUACUUGUGUAUGUUAUUUGUUUUGUAGAUUGACUUAUAUACAUACGGAGGAUUGGAUCUACAUCGAGGAUCACGCUAUCCAGAUUUAUUCUGGUAGAUUUUGUUAAACAACUUUUUGAUUUAUAUGGCAUGUAUAGGGUUGAUUUGAUAAUGUAAUAGUAUGAAUGAUUAAGUAUGUAAAGUAAAUUGAAUGCGAUGGUUGUGUUUGAUAAUGAAAUAUACAUGUUUUGGCUUGAAAUAGUUGAUUUGUUGGACUUUAUUAGUGUAUAAAUGUGAUUUUGUGCAGGAAAAUAUUAAAAGGGUGAGAAAAGAGGCAUUAAAUGACCUAUUUUCGUCCACACGAGUAGGCGCAGGACAUGUGUGACACACAACCUACUAUAUGGGCAUGUGAUAAGAUCGUGUGUCCCUUGCAACUUAAAAAUGAGAAUCAGAAUGUCCAGGUUUAGGCACAUGGCCUAACAUAAGGGCGUGUGGCUUGACCGUGUGACACACCCACGGGCUUUAACAUGGCCGUGUGAUACGGCUGUGUGAAGUCUGCACUUAAAAUGUGAAAUUUAAUUAUCACACGGCCUAGCAACACAGACGUGUGCUCAGGCUGUGUGACUCAAGUUUCUUCUUGAAUGCAAGUCAGAGAGCUCCACGGGCUUGGGACAUAGGCGUGCGUGACCACACAGCCUACCCACACGGGCGUGUCCCUAUCCACACGGGCGUGUGGCCCUGUUUCAUGAUAAUUUUUUUUAAAAUUUUCUAAAAGCUCUGAAAGUUCUUAGUUUGGUCCCGAUCUAUCUCCAACAUAUAUUUUGGGCCUCGUAGGCCCGUAUAAGGGACUUUAAGCAUGUGUUUGAAUAAUAGUUAAUUUGGAAUGAAGUUUUAUGAUCUGGUUUUGGGUGUUUAAUUGUGUUUAAGCCUGGUAAUACCUCGUACCCUGUUCCGGCGUAGAAUACGAGUAAGGGGUGUUACACAAGCUGGAUAAAAUUCUAAUUUUUGAUAAUGAUAGUAAUAACAAAUCAAUAUUUAAAUUAAAAUUAAAAUUAAUUUAGUAUAAUAUAAUUUUUGAGUUUUCGGCAAAGGCACUCAAUGAAUGCUUGGAAAGAAAUAAUGCAACUUAGUGAAAUAAUGCAACUUAGUGAUAGCUUUUGUUGGAGUUAUAUGCUGUUAUUAUAGUUUUAUGUUUUUAUCUUGCAAAAACAACAUAUUGGAGUUUUCGGUGGACUUUUAAGUUUCAUGAUUUUUUCCUAAUACUUUACGUGAAAAAAAUAAUGGUACUUAAAAAUCUAACAAAAGCUUCUCUAUAAUUUUUAUAAAAAAAACAUUGCUACAAUAUUACAACACAAAGUUACAAUAAUAGCUUAUAACUCAACAAAGGCUAUCAAUAAAUAAUCUCAAGCAAGUUAAAGAGAAAUGUUGAGAAUACCACCCAAAUAGUGACCGACUUUAAAAGUUGAAAACCCAAAGCUAUAGUAUCUCAAACGAAAUCAAACCAUAAAUAUUAAAAUUUUUCGAGUCUAUUAGCUACUGUAAAAAAAUUUAGCUCCAACAGACACCAAAUGAGCCUUUGAUUGAAGAAAAUACGAAAACUAGUCUAGGUAAACCAAGCUGCCAAACUUACUUAUCUUAUCUUUAAUCUGCCGUGAAAUUCAAAACUAAGUUUUUGUUUAUUUCACUUAGAACGACUUUCAAAAAAUUAUUUUUGAAAAAUGGAUUGAUUUUUUUGAAAUAGAUGAUAUUUUAUUGUGUUGAAACUUUAUUCGUUGUCUGAAAACUUUUUUUAAAUUAUUUUCUUAGAGUUAUUUUUAGUGAAAUAAACAUAACAUAAAUAUAUUUGUUAUAAAAAAUUAUAUUAGUAUUUUCUUUUGACAAUUAAAAUUUAUUUUAUGAUAAGACAAUAUUUUACAAUAAUUAAUAUCAUAUAUAUACGUAAUAAUAAAUCAUGUUUAAUUAAAAUUUAAUUUAAAUUAAAUAUAUUAAUAAAGCUACAUAUAAUCAUAUUUUAUAUAAUUAAAAUAUUAAUAUAAAUAUUUUUCAAUAAUAUAUUAAAAAUAUUAAAAUUUAAUAUUAUUAUUACUAAAAUUAAUUAUUAAAAUAAAAAAUGUAAUAUUAAAUAAUUUAUUGUAUUAUUAAAUAUAAAUAAUUAAAUAUGUAUUUUAUAAUAUUUUAAUAUUCUUAAACAGCCAUGUUUUAUAGAUGCUGGUGAUCGUGAUGGUGCAGGCCCUUCUUGUUAUAAUUACUAUAAUUUCUAGUGCAAUAAUUGAAGUUGUUGGGUGGUCAAGCAAACCUCUUUUUGACUGAAAUGCAUGUAAUAUACUGGGCGAAUCUAGAGGGGUUCGCGUGGUACCGGUCUCUCUAAAGUUUAAAAUUGUUAUUUAAAUUUUUAAUUUUUUUAAAAAAUUUUAAAUUUAAUAAAAGUAAAAUUAUAUUUUUAGCUCUUAAAAUUAUAAAAAUUAUAUUUAAUCCUUUAAAAGUUAUAAAUAUAUAGACUAAAAAAUUAAAAUUUCAUUCGGCUUAUUAAAAGAUUAUUCUGGCUUUGCUCUUGAUACCGAUGUUGAAUAUUUUAGAGUAUGUUUCUUUAACAUGGUUCAAUUAUAUAUUUAUAUAAUAUAAUUAUUGUUCAUGAAUGUGACAUCGUAACUAAGUUCAUAUGCAUGUCAACAUAUAUAUUAUUUUAGGGUUAAUACGUUUUUUUUAAAUGUGAGUUCACCUAUAUAAUGGUAUGAACCCGUCACGCGGUCUCAUGAAAUAUGCGAAUAUAUGUCGUGCGAACACAAAGUACGAACUACACAGAAUAAGGACUAAGACCCAAUUGGGUAAUCGGAUACGGAUCAGUAAUAAUGAAUUUCAUAACAGCCACCAUCCCCUCAUUUGUUCUAAUUUAUUUUAUUUCCAGUGAGUUAUUGUUUAUGAUAAUUCACAACAAAUGUUUUUGUCAUUAUUUUUUGGUAAAUAAUAAUAAGAUUAAACUCUACUUUCUUAAGCUCCUUCAAUUCUUUGGACGUUGGUGGUUUUUUAUUCUAAUCUUAUUUUCUUAUUAAUUUCUUUUUUAUAAUAAAUGUGUUUAUAGAUUAAAUUGGAUUAUAAUUGAGUCAUUGUAUGGAAUUAACAUAAUUCAUAUCGAUUAAAAUUUAUUCGACUGGAAAUACAAAUUUAAAAUUUUACUUCAAUUUAUCUUAAUUUAUAAAUGAUGAAUUUAAAUUUAUUUUUUUCUCUCAUUAUAUUCAGUUUUCCGGAUAAGAUUUGGCCCAGAACAAAAACUAUAACAAUAAAACAAAUAUAUAUGUUUUCCAAAAAUUAAAUUGUUAACUUUUAAAAAAAUAUUUUUAGCUAUUUCUCAUCAUUGAGAAUAAAAAUAAGGUCACCUCGCCUCAUGCUUCAACAACUCAACCUAGAUUCUCAUCACCUGUAUUUAUCAUCGAUUCAGAUUUUUAUUUUUACUAUAUUCAAGAACUACCUAUAAAUCUAUCUUCAAACUUCCUCUGGUUAAGUUCAUUCAUAGAUAGGUGAGUAAACUUGAGCUUCAGCUUCAACAAACACCAUAGUUUGAAGACACAAUUCUCUCAUACUAAAAAUAUGGAAGUUUACCAUGUAAUUAGAGAUUUGGUCUCAUUGCUUGUUGUUGGGUUAUUAAUGAUAUGGGGAUGGAGAACUUUAAACUGGGUAUGGUUGGCCCCAAAGAGGCUCGAAAGGUGCUUGAGACAACAGGGUUUUGCAGGGAAUACUUACAGGUUCCUUUCCGGUGACAUAAAACAGCUCUCAACUAUGGGCAGACAAACAAAAGCCAAACCUAUGCCUCUUAGUGAUGAUAUUGGGCCUUAUUGUUGGAGUUUCAACACACUUUAACCGGGUAAAGUAAGAAUUUUAAACAGAGCACUAGCAGCAACGUAUUAUACCCGGAUAAAAUAUGAAGGAAAAAUGCUUGGAGUUCAAGCUUUUAGCUACUGUCAAGAAUGAAGAACAGAACUUAGAAGUUUUUAGAAGGCAAAAAAAGAUGGAGCAUAUGGAAGAAAAUCUGAUGAUUUCAUUCAUUGAAACAUUGGCUUAAAGCCAUUACAUAUACCAGUCAUUUGGCUGGUCAAAAGAUUAACAAAUCCUUUACCUAAACACUACCUAACUCCACUAAUUACAUAGGGACUAGGUGAUUUUACUUGCAAACAUAAACAAAGAUGGUGAUCAGCUCUAUCACCAUCAAAUUACAUCAAACAUAAACUAAACUAAGUUCAAAAUGAACUAGAUUACAAAAGCAUAGUUAAACGGUAACAAAAUGUAACUGAGACGGAAAAGAAGUAUCAACCCCUUCAGUUGCAUGUAUUUUACUCGGGUAACUUGUGUGUAUGAAUUCUUGCACAUACUUUACCCGGAUAACAUAAGUGCAUUAAUUUUCACGUGCUUGAAUCUGCAUGGGCUGCAUGGGAACUAACUUCAACACUUAUGUUGCUCCUUUUCUUCAUCAAAUUGUCAACCAGUAUGGUUUGUUUUUUAUUUAUUUAUUUAAUCUUCAAUUUAUGAUAAUUCUUUGUUAUUUAUGUAUGGAAUUUAUUGGGAGGAAAUGCAGGAAAGAAUUCAUUUACGUGGUUUGGUCCAAGACCAAGGGUGAACAUUACUGACCCUGAAAAAAUAAGAGAAAUACUUAAACAAAUUUAAUGACUUCCAGAAGGUACAUACCAAUCCACUGCUUAAUUUGCUUGUAAGCGGCCUUGUUAACCUCGAAGGAGACCGAUGGAGCAAGCGUAGAAAAAUCAUAAACCCUGCAUUUCAUCAAGAUAAGUUGAAGGUAUAGAAUAGUGAUGGGUACUCAAGACUUUACAGAAAACAUCAUACUUAAACCUAUGCUUUUCUGAUUUAGAAAUAAUU